Brassica napus (rape) is the source of this 1707-nucleotide long non-coding RNA. RefSeq lists it as uncharacterized. The record is from RefSeq and is a predicted model, not a curated record. Lineage: Eukaryota; Viridiplantae; Streptophyta; Magnoliopsida; Brassicales; Brassicaceae. The transcript is spliced from 3 exons.
AUGUUACACUUUCCGACAAAACCCACGCUUUCCCUUUUCAGUCAAUAGUCUCUUACGAUUCCUCUUUGUAGCCAUUGUUCUAUUCUUUCCGAAUCUCCGUUACUUGCAGUAACUAUCCACUCUAAAAUCAUUGCUUUUGCUCUUUACACCUUCUUACAAGAUGUAUCUUUCACCUCCUUUUGUUUUCCUCCUGUAUGAUCUAUUUCUCGAUUCUUAUUGUAUACCGUAAUCUACGAUUUUUUCAGUCGAAGAUCAAGCUGUAUCCAUGAGAUCUGCUAAGUCCUCCGGAAAGUUUUAUGUCGCUGUGUAUUUCACCAACAUCUCCUCGGGUACAGCGGAAUCUGAACUAGGCUUCCGGUUAAUCCGUUUCUGGGAGACGAUAAGCACAGCUAAAGGUGGUUUGCUUAUUGGCUUGGAGCUUCUCCUUACAGGCAAGCAGAAAUGGCUACGCACAACUCGAAAUCUACCGCAUCAAUAUUUUUCUCCCGUUCUUAGUGGUUUGUAAAUUUGUCGUUUCAUCGCUCCAAUGUCACAAAGAAACUAUUUGAAUUUACAUUUCUUGCCACUACUCACAGGUUUCGCAGCUGCGGUUUGGACAUAGCUGCAACAGUUAUCUUCUUUAAAAAAAACAGCUGUGAUCAAGUCAAUUUUUCCAGGCAUCCAGAUGAUUAUUAAGAAAAAAAAUUGUUUGAGCUGGAAUCUGAAGUUUGUGUCCUGGAAAGCCUCUGGCAGCUGAAACUGGGGUAAAAUUCUGUAUUCUUUUAUCUUUAACUUGGAUGGGAGGUAUUAUUUUGUUGUUCAAAGAGUUGAAUCCAAACAGCCUUUAGGAGAAGAAGCAAAAAUUUACCUGAGAAAAGUUAUACAAGAGCUUUAUGUGUAGGUUUUUUUCUUAAAUACGUAGGUGAAACUCUGAACACCUUGCUCCUGCAAAAAGUCGCAUUUGAAUCUGUAAGUUGUGUACGCCUUGGUCCUGUUUAGUCUUUGCAUGUUUAAGAAAUUCAAACUGGCUUGAAGUUGACUGUUUACAGUCUCUUUAACCGCUGUAGUUAGUGUGAAGGUUUGUUGCUGAGUUUAUUGCAUAGAUCCAUUUUCAUGUGUGGAUUGUUUCAACAAACCAUCAUUAAGACUCUGUCUUGGCUACCCGCAAAUAGAUUGAGAAUUCACUUACAAACUCAAAGGAACAGCAAUGCUCUCUAUUCAGAGAUCAUGUUGAGAGAUCCCAGAGCUUUUUACACAGAUUUCUAUCAUGCUCGCUGGAACUGGAAGCACUGCUCUUUUCACUGUGAUUUGUAGCUUUGCUUCAAGGCGUGUACCCUUUUGCGCAAACAAGUUCUUCAAGACUGUACUUGGUUUCAGUUUGGUCAUACUGCUUUGGGCUGUGGAUAGACUCGGGAGGUGAUUACUUAGCGCAUACUUCUUCCAUGGGAAGACAUUCUGAUGUUUGAUUGUGUUCUUGCGAUCAAUGAGCCUUACUUAAUCAGCAGCUCCUGCUGGUUGUGGCUUCUAAGUUGGCAACAAGAACAAGAGUAAUCUCAGAGGAAGCAAAAGGCACGACCAAGUACUUUAUAUUCUUAUAAGAAACAUCUUUGCUCCUAUGUAAACUAUAUAUGUUUCUCCAAUGACAUGAAGAAUAUAUAAAUUGGUUUUUGUUUGUGUGAUCAGGAACAAACAAAAAUUUUGAAUAUAAAGCAUGUUACAGAAGACUUA